Non-coding RNA from Felis catus (domestic cat), 84 nucleotides. The record is from Rfam. NCBI's taxonomy places the organism in Eukaryota, Metazoa, Chordata, Mammalia, Carnivora, Felidae.
GCCUGGGUGGCGCAGUCGGUUAAGCGUCCGACUUCAGCCAGGUCACGAUCUCGCGGUCCGCGGGUUCGAGCCCCGCUUCGGGCU